GGCCUUGACAUACUAAGAACUUUCCAGAGAUGGAUUGGUGCCUUCGGGAACUUAGAUACAGGUGCUGCAUGGCUGUCGUCAGCUCGUGUCGUGAGAUGUUGGGUUAAGUCCCGCAACGAGCGCAACCCUUUUCCUUAUUUGCCAGCGGGUCAUGCCGGGAACUUUAAGGAUACUGCCAGUGACAAACUGGAGGAAGGCGGGACGACGUCAAGUCAUCAUGGCCCUUACGGCCAGGGCUACACACGUGCUACAAUGGUCGGUACAAAGGGUUGCUACCUCGCGAGAGGAUGCUAAUCUCAAAAAGCCGAUCGUAGUCCGGAUCGCAGUCUGCAACUCGACUGCGUGAAGUCGGAAUCGCUAGUAAUCGCGGAUCAGAAUGCCGCGGUGAAUACGUUCCCGGGCCUUGUACACACCGCCCGUCACACCAUGGGAGUUUGUUGCACCAGAAGUAGGUAGUCUAACCGCAAGGAGGACGCUUACCACGGUGUGGCCGAUGACUGGGGUGAAGUCGUAACAAGGUAAGCGUAGAUGA
RNAcentral lists this ribosomal RNA (532 nucleotides) under uncultured bacterium. Its description in RNAcentral is "bacterial SSU rRNA". It matches the Rfam family "Bacterial small subunit ribosomal RNA", at positions 977 to 1509 of the family's 1533-position model. The record is from RNAcentral.